RNAcentral lists this ribosomal RNA (427 nucleotides) under uncultured bacterium. Its description in RNAcentral is "bacterial SSU rRNA". It matches the Rfam family "Bacterial small subunit ribosomal RNA", at positions 359 to 776 of the family's 1533-position model. The record is from RNAcentral.
GAAUUUUGGGCAAUGGCCGCAAGGCUGACCCAGCGACGCCGCGUGCGGGAGGACGCCCUUCGGGGUGUAAACCGCUGUCAGGGGGGACGCAAGACCGCAGUCAGAAUACGGCUGCGGCGUGACGGUACCCUCCAAAGACGCGCCCGCUAACCCCGUGCCAGCCGCCGCGGUAAUACGGAGGGCGCGAGCCUUGUUCGGAAUCACUGGGCGUAAAGCGCGCGCAGGCGUGACUAGCAAGUCGGGAGUGAAAUCUCGGGGCUCAACUCCGAGGCUGCUUCCGAAACUGCGGACCUGGAGACUGGUAGAGGUGGGUGGAAUUCCCGGUGUAGCGGUGGAAUGCGUAGAGAUCGGGAAGAACACCGGUGGCGAAGGCGGCCCACUGGGCCAGUUCUGACGCUGAGGCGCGAAAGCGUGGGGAGCAAACAGG